RNAcentral lists this unclassified non-coding RNA (277 nucleotides) under fungal sp. Its description in RNAcentral is "partial internal transcribed spacer region". The stretch from base 1 to 46 matches the Rfam family "Eukaryotic small subunit ribosomal RNA", at positions 1786 to 1831 of the family's 1831-position model. The record is from RNAcentral. Lineage: Eukaryota; Fungi.
AAGUCGUAACAAGGUUUCCGUAGGUGAACCUGCGGAAGGAUCAUUAACACGUUCCAAAACGUUCAUAUCAACACCAAACGGUUCAGUGCAACAGUACUCCCUAACAAAAGGGUCAAGCUGCUCUUCUUCUCUCCAGUGAUAGGUGAGUCCGCAAGGACUCGCGGAGAGACGUUGGGCUAGGGUCUCGCGGAGAGACUAAAUCUUUCGAACGAAGAAAUUUGUUUGGAAUUGUAUAUCUAACACUGUACAACUCUUAGCAAUGGAUAUCUUGGUUCUC